RNAcentral lists this ribosomal RNA (492 nucleotides) under uncultured bacterium. RNAcentral describes it as "partial 16S ribosomal RNA". It matches the Rfam family "Bacterial small subunit ribosomal RNA", at positions 29 to 507 of the family's 1533-position model. The record is from RNAcentral.
AGUGAACGCUGGCGGCAGGCCUAAUACAUGCAAGUCGAACGGAAGGACAGGAAGCUUUCGCUCCUACGGGUGGCGGGGGACGGGUGGGUGACAAAUACAUCGGCAUCCACUUAUUCGGGGAGGAUAACGGAGGAAAACAGAUGCUAAUACCGCAUACAAUCAACGGGAGAAAGCAGGGGAGAUACGCACCUUUCCCGUCUGAAUGAGACGAAGUCGCAUUACCUAGUUGGUGAGGUAAAGGCACACCAAGGCGACGAUCCGUAGCGGAUCUGAGAGGAUGAUCGGCCACACUGGAACUGAGACACGGUCCAGACUCCUACGGGAGGCAGCAGUGGGGAAUCUUCGGCAAUGGGCGCAAGCCUGACCGAGCAAUGCCGCGUGAGUGAUGAAGGCCUUCGGAUCGUAAAGCCCUUUUGUUAGGGAAGAAAAAAUGUGGAUUAAUCCCCGCCUGUUUUGACGGUACCCAAUGAGAAAGCCCCGGCUAACUUCGUG